This 2359-nucleotide long non-coding RNA is filed under the name Equus caballus (horse). RNAcentral's name for it is "lncRNA (ENSECAG00000037509.3)". Lineage: Eukaryota; Metazoa; Chordata; Mammalia; Perissodactyla; Equidae. The record is from RNAcentral.
CAGCACGGAGCGUCCGAGGCUCUGCUGGAGUCAGCGCCCGGCAGCUACCGCGACCGAGUCUGGGGGGACAGACUUGGCAGACCCGUUGGGCCAGUGUGACCUCAUACGCGGCCCUUCUGCUUCAGAGACACAGGCGGCUCUGACUCCCACACCCCUGCAGAGGCUGCUGUGGUCGUCAGGCGACAGGGCUCUGCGGAAGAGUACACGCAGAGCCACUCCAGGCCAGGCCAGGAGGCCAUCCAAGGGCAUGGGAGCCCUGGGAAACGCUCAGCGGCUUUUAUACCCGUUUGUCUCAACUGUUCUUGACCUGCUCUUCAACCCCGAGCUACGUCCCAUCGCUUCAACCAACCGAAGGAAUGCUUCCUAGAACUAGAUGGCCGUCUCACCUUUAAGCAAGGGGUGAUGUGAAAAAUGGCCGGCUGGAAGAUGCUUCUGCUUGUUUCUUUAUAUCCACCCAGCCUUUUUAUGACCCCUGUUGGUAAUGGAGAAAAAACAAGCUCAACAGUCAGACAGAUGUGAUUUUAAAUUCCGGGCUUACAUAAACUAGUCAAAUGAAUGUGGGCCCCCACUUCAACUUCUCCAAACAUCAAUUUCUCCUUGUGAAAAUAGAGAUAUGAGACCUGGUCUGCAGUGGACCCAUCUUAGCUGCUUUUUGCUGCUCUGUCCAUGGAUGCAUUUGAAGAGUUCAAUGUUAAAAAAGGAAAUGGUUCAAUGAUACAAAUGUUGAAUGGUGAGCAUAUUUUUGCUGAAAAUUUUGCGGCUCCUGAAAAAGCACCCCUCGCUAGUUAAAGGAAUUCUGAAGGAAGAGCCAUAAGAGCUCAGGGACUCUGGAAAUAUUUGUUGAAUGAAGGAGGUUACAAGAGGAAGCACAAUGAUACGGCGAAAGAGCACAGGAUAUUUAUUCAAGUGAUCUGAGUGCCUGCUCUGCCAUGCACAACCCAUGUGACACUGGGCAAGUCUGUUUUCUCCACUCUAACCUGAGACUGAUAGCCCUGUCUGUCUCCCACAGUCUCUGUGGGGAACAGGCGAAACCAGAUCCAGUGAGAGACGAACGUGACUGAGAAGAGCAGGAGCCUAGCAGCCUAGGAAUGGCCUGUCCUGACACACUUUUGGAGAGCGUGGGCACAAGAAGGCAGCUGUUCCCCACAAAAGAGAAGAACCAGCCUGGGUGACCGAGGAUAUGGCACAAACCUGCCCACCAGGAAAUUCCAAGUUGCCGUUAGUUGGCCCUGCCUUCCAACAGGAGCAUGAGCAGAAAGGCCUUCUUGUACCUGAUCCACACAUCAGACUUCCAGCAUCAUACCCUUCUCCCCGUCUGACUGCCCAGACUCUGUGUACCACCUAAGACAAAUUCAAAACCUGUCCUUGAAUUUGUCCCCAGUGAUAGCCCCAUGCCUAAACUUUGUUUUGUAUACUCCCUCUUUCUUACUCUUCUCUAAAUGUUUCAAAUGUAUAUAUCUUUUCGACUAAUUCGCACAUUUCUUAAAGGCAAGUAAUUCUUACCAUUUUCUAAAACCCUGCAGUGGUUAUCACAGAGCUGGCCACAUGGUAGAAACAAUACUCAACACACUUAUUUAUUGAUAGACCCCAUAGCAAUCUUUUGGUAUAAUAUCUAUAAUUCAUAUUAAAACAGUUUAGCAUAAACUGUAUGAUAUUAUGCAAUUUCUGGUUAGUUCAAGCUUUAACUCUAGAAAUGUCAGUUGCCAUUUUUGAGAAUCCACAUUCCAGAAAUAUUUGAUUGAUAUCCAAGCGUUGAUAGCCUGUGGUUCCGACACCCAAAUCUUGAGCAAUACCCAAGGCUUUAUUAACAAGUAUAGUGAAUGUCUGAAAAGGGUAUUGAUUAGUAAAAUUUGUUGCUAAUAAAUUAACAUAAUGAAUAUUAGCAUGGGCCUCAAUGAUAAAAAAUAAAGGUGUUCAAGAAGUAUGAGUUGGCCUAAACAUUUUGAAGACACGCCCAACCCUGAACAGAGUCUAUAAACCUGGAGGUAUCCGUGGCCUGGACUCUGCAGGAUGGUGCUCAAGCUUGAUGCGUGAACAGCCCCGUGUCCAGCCACGGCUGUAGGAGCAUCCCGUGCCCGAGGCUGACCUGCAUCAGUACCAGGGCCUGCGUCAGAGCGUUGUGUGUGUGCCUUGGGGCCCUUUCACACAAGGUGGGGGCAGAACAUCUAAAAUUUAGGGAGCUGGGACAUCUGCAAACUUACAAAACAGAUCAGAUGUGCUAUUUUGUGACUUCUUGUUAAUAAAUGUUUGUUUUUUUAAAUAAAUGUGUGGCAGAAUUUGAUCUGAGACUUAAUGAAAACCUGGUAGCAAGGCUGUGGGGAGUACUAACCCUCUCCCGUCAACAUCUACCUAAAAGGCC